Molecule: long non-coding RNA, 215 nt
Filed under: Ictidomys tridecemlineatus (thirteen-lined ground squirrel)
Lineage: Eukaryota; Metazoa; Chordata; Mammalia; Rodentia; Sciuridae
Description: lncRNA (ENSSTOG00000030102.1)
Source: RNAcentral
CCCGAAUGCCUAGAAAAGGCUCCACGUUCACCCUCCACCGCAGAAUCAACCACGUGGUUCGGGGAAGGCUGCAGCGAGGGGCUAGGACCGGGAGCGCAGUCUCCGAAGGGAAGUCGUUAAGAGAACAGGGAGCCACUCAGGACUGGAGCCUUUCUAUCCUGGUCUGGGAAAAGCAACCUUAUCAAUCAGGUAUGUCUUGUUAAACAUAGUACCAA